GCCUUCGGUUGCCCGAGUUGUAAUCUAGAGAAGUGUUUUCCGUGCCGGCCCAUGUACAAGUCCCUUGGAACAGGGCGUCAUAGAGGGUGAGAAUCCCGUCCUUGACAUGGACCCCCGGUGCUUUGUGAUACACUUUCAACGAGUCGAGUUGUUUGGGAAUGCAGCUCAAAAUGGGUGGUGAAUUCCAUCUAAAGCUAAAUAUUGGCGAGAGACCGAUAGCGAACAAGUACCGUGAGGGAAAGAUGAAAAGCACUUUGGAAAGAGAGUUAAACAGUACGUGAAAUUGUUGAAAGGGAAACGAUUGAAGUCAGUCAUGCUCUUGGGACUUACCUCCCUUGAGUGGGGUCAACAUCAGUUUUGAUCGAUGGAUAAAGGCACUAGGAAGGUAGCACUCUCGGGUGAACUUAUAGCCUAGCGUCAUAUACAUUGAUUGGGACUGAGGAACGCAGCAUGCCUUUUGGCCGGGAUUCGUCCACGUACAUGCUUAGGAUGUUGACAUAAUGGCUUUA
Molecule: ribosomal RNA, 509 nt
Filed under: Naganishia albida
Lineage: Eukaryota; Fungi; Basidiomycota; Tremellomycetes; Filobasidiales; Filobasidiaceae
Description: partial large subunit ribosomal RNA
Rfam family: Eukaryotic large subunit ribosomal RNA
Source: RNAcentral